GAUGAACGCUGGCGGCGUGCCUAAUACAUGCAAGUCGAGCGAACAGACGAGGAGCUUGCUCCUCUGACGUUAGCGGCGGACGGGUGAGUAACACGUGGAUAACCUACCUAUAAGACUGGGAUAACUUCGGGAAACCGGAGCUAAUACCGGAUAAUAUAUUGAACCGCAUGGUUCAAUAGUGAAAGACGGCUUUGCUGUCACUUAUCGAUGGAUCCGCGCCGCAUUAGCUAGUUGGUAAGGUAACGGCUUACCAAGGCAACGAUGCGUAGCCGACCUGAGAGGGUGAUCGGCCACACUGGAACUUAGACACGGUCCAGACUCCUACGGGAGGCAGCAGUAGGGAAUCUGCCGCAAUGGGCGAAAGCCUGACGGAGCAACGCCGCGUGAGUGAUGAAGGUCUUCGGAUCGUAAAACUCUGUUAUUAGGGAAGAACAGAUGUGUAAGUAACUAUGCACGUCUUGACGGUACCUAAUCAGAAAGCCACGGCUAACUACGUG
RNAcentral lists this ribosomal RNA (497 nucleotides) under uncultured bacterium. RNAcentral's name for it is "partial 16S ribosomal RNA". It matches the Rfam family "Bacterial small subunit ribosomal RNA", at positions 28 to 507 of the family's 1533-position model. The record is from RNAcentral.